GCAAAGUGGACGUUGAAACACUCUGGUGGUUCUUAAAGGGCUUCUUUAGGAGGCAAGAGGGAUUUGGCCCAGGAGACUUGUUUGGUUAAAGGGCUAAAAUGCUCCAAAGGCCCCGCAGCUGUUAGCACCUGCCUGCAAGUCACCCUGGAUCUUUGGUCCCUCCUCCUGGUGAAUGUUAUACUGGUGGGAAAAACCACACUCCACAUGGUUUCUGGCCCCUUGAUGCUGCUGAAACAACCCAAGUAGCAGCCUAACAUUUUGUUUCAUGUUCUACUUGAG
RNAcentral lists this long non-coding RNA (279 nucleotides) under Bos taurus (domestic cattle). RNAcentral describes it as "long non-coding RNA NONBTAT006037". Lineage: Eukaryota; Metazoa; Chordata; Mammalia; Artiodactyla; Bovidae. The record is from RNAcentral.